AGAACCUGCCUGCCAUGGACAACCCUGCCAGGAACCAGAACCUGCCUGCCAUGGACAGCCCUGCCAGGAUCCUUUGCCAAACACAGGAAAGUGGAGGAAGAUCACAAGGUGCAAUCCCAGGAUAUCAGCAUGGGUAUCCAGGAGAGCGGGCUGGAGGAUUCCUGCAACCCAUGCGUGCUGUGUGUUGUCUUCGUCCCCUCAGAUAAGUAACUAUUUCUGAGCAACUGCAAAUACAAGACUGGUGUAAAAAGGAGUGUCUUUAUAAACAGAAAAGGGUGGUUAGGUUAAAAAUAAGAAACAGCAAACCUCUGGGUGUGGCUGCAACCUGGGCCUGAAGUUUUACAGCUUGCUUAGAAAAUUGUUCAUAACCCUUGCAUCUUUGCAUUUCUGGAUUAUAAAAUUGGAUUUUCCUGGCUGUUUUUUAAAAUUCGGCUGUUUACUGUUGGUUUGUCAGGAUUUAGGAUGUUUGGGGGAGGGUGGGCUGUGUGUUAGGCCAGGGUGUGCACAGUGUUCCUGUUGCCUUCUAACAGCUCCUUUUUCCCUCAUAAUUUUCCAGGCUGCAGGCGUCACUGCUCUCUCCACCACUGAGCAAGGAAACCUGCUGCUGAAUUUCUCCAUGCUUGGGAAAAGUUUAAUGAUUACAAAGCAUUGGAUCUGCAGGGGAUGAGAAGAAUCAUUUCCCAGAGAUUUUCUGCCAAAUGAAGACAAGACGACAGAAGUUUGAACAAGAUUUCUGCUGAACAAACCAAGAGAAUGUGACCAGGAGCCAGCCUGACCUCAUAGACUGAACGAGACAGAAUUUAUAGUGACUCUGACUGGAACCCAAGUACCUUUACUGGGUCUCCAGGAUGUAAAUAGUUCCAUGUUCUCUGUUUUUUUGGAUAGUUCCAUGUUCUCUGUUUUUCUGGAGUCUCAAAAUCAGUUCUGUUUUGUUUAUUUUCUUACUGUUCAAUGCAAAGCACCUGCAUACUUUCAUGUUUGUUUUAAGUAAAGUUUUACGUUCUCUUUGUUA
Long non-coding RNA from Catharus ustulatus (Swainson's thrush), 1012 nucleotides. RefSeq lists it as uncharacterized. The transcript is spliced from 3 exons. Lineage: Eukaryota; Metazoa; Chordata; Aves; Passeriformes; Turdidae. The record is from RefSeq and is a predicted model, not a curated record.